CGGAGGAAAAGAAACCAACAGGGAUUGCCUUAGUAACGGCGAGUGAAGCGGCAAAAGCUCAAAUUUGAAAUCGGCCACCAGGUCGAGUUGUAAUUUGUAGAUUGUAUCUUGAGAGCGGAUUAAAGUCUGUUGGAACACAGCGCCUUAGAGGGUGACAGCCCCGUAAAAUCUAUUCUCAUUGUAAGAUACUUUCGAAGAGUCGAGUUGUUUGGGAAUGCAGCUCUAAGUGGGAGGUAAAUUCCUUCUAAAGCUAAAUAUUGACGAGAGACCGAUAGCGAACAAGUACUGUGAAGGAAAGAUGAAAAGCACUUUGAAAAGAGAGUGAAAAAGUACGUGAAAUUGUUAAAAGGGAAGGGUAUUGAAUCAGACUUGGUGCUGUUGUUCAACUGUGUUUCGGCAUAGUGUACUCAGCAGUAAUAGGCCAAGGUGGGGUGUUUGGGAGUGAAAAAGAAGUUGGAACGUAACUCUUGGGAGUGUUAUAGCCUACU
This 488-nucleotide ribosomal RNA is filed under the name fungal endophyte. RNAcentral's name for it is "eukaryotic LSU rRNA". It matches the Rfam family "Eukaryotic large subunit ribosomal RNA", at positions 51 to 564 of the family's 3401-position model. The record is from RNAcentral. Lineage: Eukaryota; Fungi.